RNAcentral lists this ribosomal RNA (253 nucleotides) under uncultured bacterium. RNAcentral describes it as "partial 16S ribosomal RNA". It matches the Rfam family "Bacterial small subunit ribosomal RNA", at positions 524 to 776 of the family's 1533-position model. The record is from RNAcentral.
UACGUAGGGUCCGAGCGUUGUCCGGAAUUACUGGGCGUAAAGAGCUCGUAGGUGGUUUGUCGCGUUGUUCGUGAAAACUCACAACUCAAUUGUGGGCGUGCGGGCGAUACGGGCAGACUAGAGUACUGCAGGGGAGACUGGAAUUCCUGGUGUAGCGGUGGAAUGCGCAGAUAUCAGGAGGAACACCGGUGGCGAAGGCGGGUCUCUGGACAGUUCCUGACGCUGAGGCACGAAGGCCAGGGGAGCAAACGGG